This 440-nucleotide ribosomal RNA is filed under the name uncultured bacterium. RNAcentral's name for it is "bacterial SSU rRNA". It matches the Rfam family "Bacterial small subunit ribosomal RNA", at positions 338 to 795 of the family's 1533-position model. The record is from RNAcentral.
CCUACGGGACGCAGCAGUGGGGAAUAUUGGACAAUGGGCGAAAGCCUGAUCCAGCAAUGCCGCGUGUGUGAAGAAGGUCUUCGGAUUGUAAAGCACUUUCGACGGGGACGCUGAUGACGGUACCCGUAGAAGAAGCCCCGGCUAACUUCGUGCCAGCAGCCGCGGUAAUACGAAGGGGACUAGCGUUGCUCGGAAUGACUGGGCGUAAAGGGCGCGUAGGCGGUUUAUGCAGUCAGAUGUGAAAUCCCCGGGCUUAACCUGGGAACUGCAUUUGAGACGCAUAGACUAGAGGUCGAGAGAGGGUUGUGGAAUUCCCAGUGUAGAGGUGAAAUUCGUAGAUAUUGGGAAGAACACCGGUGGCGAAGGCGGCAACCUGGCUCGAUACUGACGCUGAGGCGCGAAAGCGUGGGGAGCAAACAGGAUUAGAUACCCCCGUAGUC